UACGUAGGUCCCGAGCGUUGUCCGGAUUUAUUGGGCGUAAAGCGAGCGCAGGCGGUUCUUUAAGUCUGAAGUUAAAGGCAGUGGCUUAACCAUUGUACGCUUUGGAAACUGGAGGACUUGAGUGCAGAAGGGGAGAGUGGAAUUCCAUGUGUAGCGGUGAAAUGCGUAGAUAUAUGGAGGAACACCGGUGGCGAAAGCGGCUCUCUGGACUGUAACUGACACUGAGGCUCGAAAGCGUGGGUAGCAAACAGG
This 252-nucleotide ribosomal RNA is filed under the name uncultured microorganism. RNAcentral's name for it is "partial 16S ribosomal RNA". It matches the Rfam family "Bacterial small subunit ribosomal RNA", at positions 524 to 776 of the family's 1533-position model. The record is from RNAcentral.